GACGAACGCUGGCGGCGUGCUUAACACAUGCAAGUCGAACGGAAAGGCCCUGCUUUUGUGGGGUGCUCGAGUGGCGAACGGGUGAGUAACACGUGAGUAACCUGCCCUUGACUUUGGGAUAACUUCAGGAAACUGGGGCUAAUACCGGAUAGGAGCUCCUGCUGCAUGGUGGGGGUUGGAAAGUUUCGGCGGUUGGGGAUGGACUCGCGGCUUAUCAGCUUGUUGGUGGGGUAGUGGCUUACCAAGGCUUUGACGGGUAGCCGGCCUGAGAGGGUGACCGGCCACAUUGGGCUGAGAUACGGCCCAGACUCCUACGGGAGGCAGCAGUGGGGAAUAUUGCACAAUGGGCGGAAGCCUGAUGCAGCAACGCCGCGUGCGGGAUGACGGCCUUCGGGUUGUAAACCGCUUUCGCCUGUGACGAAGCGUGAGUGACGGUAAUGGGUAAAGAAGCACCGGCUAACUACGUG
This 467-nucleotide ribosomal RNA is filed under the name uncultured bacterium. Its description in RNAcentral is "partial 16S ribosomal RNA". It matches the Rfam family "Bacterial small subunit ribosomal RNA", at positions 28 to 507 of the family's 1533-position model. The record is from RNAcentral.